GACGAACGCUGGCGGCGUGCUUAACACAUGCAAGUCGAACGGUGAAGGGACCGGUUUUUGCUGGUUCUGGAUGAGUGGCGAACGGGUGAGUAACACGUGAGUAACCUGCCCCCUUCUUCUGGAUAACCGCAUGAAAGUGUGGCUAAUACGGGAUAUUCUGCGCCUGCUGCAUGGUGGGUGUGGGAAAGAUAUUGUUUCGGUGGGGGAUGGGCUCGCGGCCUAUCAGCUUGUUGGUGGGGUGAUGGCCUACCAAGGCGGUGACGGGUAGCCGGCCUGAGAGGGUGGACGGUCACACUGGGACGGAGACACGGCCCAGACUCCUACGGGAGGCAGCAGGGGGGAAUAUUGCACAAUGGGCGCAAGCCUGAUGCAGCGACGCCGCGUGAGGGAUGGAGGCCUUCGGGUUGUAAACCUCUUUCGCCAGUGAAGCAGGCCUGUCCCUUUUGUGGGUGGGUUGACGGUAGCUGGAUAAGAAGCGCCGGCUAACUACGUG
RNAcentral lists this ribosomal RNA (493 nucleotides) under uncultured bacterium. RNAcentral describes it as "partial 16S ribosomal RNA". It matches the Rfam family "Bacterial small subunit ribosomal RNA", at positions 28 to 507 of the family's 1533-position model. The record is from RNAcentral.